AUUGAACGCUGGCGGCAUGCCUUACACAUGCAAGUCGAACGGCAGCACGGGAGCAAUCCUGGUGGCGAGUGGCGAACGGGUGAGUAAAGUAUCGGAACGCGCCCAGUCGUGGGGGAUAACGUAGCGAAAGUUACGCUAAUACCGCAUACGAUCUAUGGAUGAAAGCGGGGGAUCGCAAGACCUCGCGCGAUUGGAGCGGCCGAUAUCAGAUUAGGUAGUUGGUGGGGUAAAGGCUCACCAAGCCGACGAUCUGUAGCUGGUCUGAGAGGACGACCAGCCAGACUGGGACUGAGACACGGCCCAGACUCCUACGGGAGGCAGCAGUGGGGAAUUUUGGACAAUGGGCGAAAGCCUGAUCCAGCCAUGCCGCGUGCAGGAUGAAGGCCUUCGGGUUGUAAACUGCUUUUGUACGGAACGAAAUGGUCUGGCUUAAUACGCUGAACUCAUGACGGUACCGUAAGAAUAAGCACCGGCUAACUACGUGCCAGCAGCCGCGGUAA
RNAcentral lists this ribosomal RNA (500 nucleotides) under uncultured bacterium. RNAcentral's name for it is "partial 16S ribosomal RNA". It matches the Rfam family "Bacterial small subunit ribosomal RNA", at positions 30 to 523 of the family's 1533-position model. The record is from RNAcentral.